This is a long non-coding RNA of Coturnix japonica (Japanese quail), 1907 nucleotides long. The record is from Ensembl. Lineage: Eukaryota; Metazoa; Chordata; Aves; Galliformes; Phasianidae.
UUUGAUUCCUUCCUGUUAUGUUGUAGGGCUUGCAGCAGUGUCCCCCUACCAGCCUCUGGGCACCCGUAGGUUCCCGCUGUAAGAGGUGAACAGCCUUGAAGUUGGAGGUCCAAGGCAUCCAGCUUCAUUUGUUGCAGUGUUUUCUCUCAGGACGGUUGCCUGUUUUGGCUCCACAGGCCAAAAGGAGGGUAAGAAUGAGGGCAACGAGGCGGCAAGAGCUGGCAAAGCCAACGCUGGCAGUGCAGGGCCAGCAGGCUGUGAAGGUUGGUCACCUUCCAGGGGAAUUAUCGAGUGGUGCUGCAUGCCAUGGAAGUGUGCAGCAAUGGGCAGAAGGACCGUGGUGUUCUUGACUCCUGAAGUUUGACUCCAGUUGUGGUACAAGAAAACGUUCCUGGAGUUGAGUUUGGGGCAUUAAAACAGGCAUGGGGGAAAGAGUUUCUUUCUUUGUCCACCUCCGUUUUGCAGCCACUUCCCUGUGCAAUCUUGGGAAAAUCUUGUCUGCCUCUGUUUUGCCCUCUAUAACAAUCAUGACAGACCCCUCCUUUUAGAUGCCUGGAUCAAAGGUACUAUAUAAGUACAAAGUGCUCCUUCUAUAGGGUAUUACUGCCAAAUUCGCUAUAAGCAAUUCCAUUGGGUACUUGAUAACAACAGUAGAAUCAGUCAGACGCCCUUGAUGCAUUCACUGCAUGGUCCCAGAUACCUUUCAGAGCCUCUUUGUGUGCCAUCCCACCCCCUGAGGUCCACGAGGAUGGGGCUUUUGGAGCCUGGAUUCUGCAGGAGCGGGAGGGGUGUGGAAAGCAUCUUCUGGCCCCUGAACCAUGGACCGCUUUUCUUUUGACCUGUACGGGUAACGCCAUUCUCCAGGCGUAUUUACGGACACCAUGGAAGAAAGGGUUUGAGCGAUGGAGACAACGGCUGGAAGCUCCACCGACACAACGCAACUACAGUCCAUGUAAUCUAUGGCACACUUCCUACAGUGCAAUCACAUGGAAAAGUCCUGGGCAAAGAAAAAAAUAAAAGGAAGCAAAGAACACCAGAUCUCAGCAAACCACAAGUGUGAUUCAACAUCUGAGUGUGGGCAGACUCAGGACCUGAAGACUGUGCCAUGCAUCAUGCGGAGGGUAAGUUUCUGCUGACUAAAAAACAACAACAGCAACAACCAAACAACACUCUCUCCUCCCCCAAACUAUAGCAAAUCUGAUUUGAACUAAGAUCUCUAUGUAGCUGCACUUAAUUUAUUCUUUCCUUCCUGAGUGACCCCUACUAGCUUUCAAAGACAUAAUAUAACACAUCCCCCUACCCUUCUGCUUCUAUCUUUUCAAAGCAGCCCACAAUCCUUGCUCACGGGUCUACCAGCUGAAAAGGCAAAACUGAAAGGAUUUUUUCCCUUUUAGAAACAUACACUUUACACACAUGCACUGGACUGCUGCCAGGGUCAGUGACAGCAUAUAACGCAGAGACUGAGAAGCGAAUGCAACCCUGUCUUGCUGGUGUUUUUCCUGGAGUUAGGUGGAAAGAUGGUUUUUGCAGGACACAGUUUGCUGGCAUCAAGCCAGGCUCCUGCCAGCUGCUGCCACUGCAUGGUAAUAAGCUUAUUUCUAUGCGAAAGACCUUAUUGUUAAUAAUUUCUGUCAGCUUCUAACCUGUGUUUUUCUUCUUAUUAUUAUUAUUUAUUUAUUUAUUUUAAAUCAGAUGUUUACAAGAAGUACUAUAGUUUUUUUAAUGGAGUAUUCUAAUGCAGUGUUAAUGAUUAUCAGCUCAAUCUGAUUCAUCCAACCCAGAAAACAACUUAGGUUGCUUUUUAAUUAUAAAAGCUGAAGAAAAAAAAUAAUACAACCCCCCCCAUAUUAAAUAUAUAUAUAUAUAUAUAUAAUAAAAAAAAUAUAUAAAUAUAUAUAUAUUCCCUU